RNAcentral lists this microRNA precursor (123 nucleotides) under Dichanthelium oligosanthes. RNAcentral's name for it is "MIR2275 microRNA precursor family". It matches the Rfam family "MIR2275 microRNA precursor family". Lineage: Eukaryota; Viridiplantae; Streptophyta; Magnoliopsida; Poales; Poaceae. The record is from Rfam by way of RNAcentral.
GCACUGAAAGUCAGAGUUGGAGGAAAACAAACCGAUCGAUCACCAGACUCUAGAAUGGCUAGAUGGGCAAAGUUUGUCGCUGAUGCAUGGGUUUGUUUUCCUCCAAUAUCUCACCUUCAGUCA